UUCGGGGUGCAGCAGGCGCGAAAACUUUGCAAUGCGGGAAACCGUGACAAGGGAACUCUGAGUGCCCGUUAAAUCGGGCUGUCCAUCGGUUUAAAUAACCGGUGAAGAAAGGGCCGGGCAAGACCGGUGCCAGCCGCCGCGGUAAUACCGGCGGCUCGAGUGGUGGCCACUAUUACUGGGCUUAAAGCGUUCGUAGCUGGUUUGUUAAGUCUCUGGGGAAAUCUUCCGGCUUAACCGGAAGGCGUCUCAGGGAUACUGGCAGACUAGGGACCGGGAGAGGUGAGAGGUACUCCAGGGGUAGGAGUGAAAUCCUGUAAUCCUUGGGGGACCACCUGUGGCGAAGGCGUCUCACCAGAACGGCUCCGACAGUGAGGGACGAAAGCUGGGGGAGCAAACCGGAUUAGAUACCCGGGUAGUCCCAGCUGUAAACGAUGCGCGUUAGGUGUAUCGGUGACCACGAGUCACCGAGGUGCCGAAGAGAAAUCGUGAAACGUGCCGCCUGGGAAGUACGGUCGCAAGGCUGAAACUUAAAGGAAUUGGCGGGGGAGCAC
This 551-nucleotide ribosomal RNA is filed under the name uncultured archaeon. RNAcentral describes it as "bacterial SSU rRNA". It matches the Rfam family "Archaeal small subunit ribosomal RNA", at positions 324 to 879 of the family's 1478-position model. The record is from RNAcentral.